CUGCCCUUUGUACACACCGCCCGUC
This 25-nucleotide non-coding RNA is filed under the name Arabidopsis thaliana (thale cress). RNAcentral also lists the same sequence under 8 other names. Lineage: Eukaryota; Viridiplantae; Streptophyta; Magnoliopsida; Brassicales; Brassicaceae. The record is from RNAcentral.